GUUAAGAUGGCAGAGCCAGGCAAUUGCAAAAGAUCUAAGCCCUUUCACCAGAGGUUCAAUUCCUCUUCUUAACU
Molecule: transfer RNA, 74 nt
Filed under: Notophthalmus viridescens (eastern newt)
Lineage: Eukaryota; Metazoa; Chordata; Amphibia; Caudata; Salamandridae
Description: tRNA-Leu
Rfam family: tRNA
About the family: Transfer RNA (tRNA) molecules are approximately 80 nucleotides in length. Their secondary structure includes four short double-helical elements and three loops (D, anti-codon, and T loops).
Source: RNAcentral